This 450-nucleotide ribosomal RNA is filed under the name uncultured bacterium. RNAcentral describes it as "bacterial SSU rRNA". It matches the Rfam family "Bacterial small subunit ribosomal RNA", at positions 330 to 794 of the family's 1533-position model. The record is from RNAcentral.
UCCAGACUCCUACGGGAGGCAGCAGUGGGGGGUAUUGGACAAUGGGGGAAACCCUGAUCCAGCGACGCCGCGUGAGUGAAGAAGUAUUUCGGUAUGUAAAGCUCUGUCAGCAGGGAAGAAAGAAAUGACGGUACCUGACCAAGAAGCCCCGGCUAACUACGUGCCAGCAGCCGCGGUAAUACGUAGGGGGCAAGCGUUAUCCGGAUUUACUGGGUGUAAAGGGAGCGCAGACGGCAGUGCAAGUCUGGAGUGAAAGCCCGGGGCCCAACCCCGGAACUGCUCUGGAAACUGUGCGGCUAGAGUACUGGAGGGGCAGGCGGAAUUCCUAGUGUAGCGGUGAAAUGCGUAGAUAUUAGGAGGAACACCAGUGGCGAAGGCGGCCUGCUGGACAGUAACUGACGUUGAGGCUCGAAAGCGUGGGGAGCAAACAGGAUUAGAUACCCUCGUACA